GCAAGCCAGUAUCAAACCCUCUCCUGUUCACUCAGACUGCCAGAUUGUUCUUUAGCUUUAUGCAAGACUUUACAGCCUUCUUCCUUGGAUUGAUUAGCAGGUGCACACUCUCCUGGUAAAUGCUUCAGCCUUCUGUUCCUGACCUCGAGUUCUGCCUCUGUGUCCUUGGAUCCUGUCUGCUCCUCUCCUUGGCCGCUUGACAUUUCCUUGCGUCGAUCCAACAGUUGUUUACUACGGACUCCUUUCCUGGGGAGUGAACCAGCUAUCUCCUUGACUGCAUCCUCGGUCUGCUGCCCCACGUGGACACCCUACUCCACUGGAUCCAUGUCUGAAAGUGUGAGCACAGCCAUCAGAAGCUAUACAAGAUCACAGAACUUCAAGAUCAGCUUGAUGUGAGCUCUGCUGAAAAAAGCAUCGGCUAGUAUUUGAAAUGGAGCCGAAUGGAGGGGUGCUGCUGGUUCGCGCUGGGCCUGAGGAUACACAUCAUUGACGAGAGAGGGGGCUAUCGGAUCCGUAGUGCGCUGCGCAGAAAUAAAGCUGCUAGUGUCUUAUUGACUUUCUUGUUGGCUAAUAAAGGUUAAACAAGUAAACCUGUUAGUUGACAUCCCCGUGCCCCUAUUGGGGAAGGUUAAUGUACUGAGACCGGCCCUUGGGACUGAAGGUAGAGGUCUGUAAGUGAGUGUGCAGAGCGCAACUGGGAGGAAGACGGGUCACAGCACUUAUCGCCAUCGACCUCGGGUCAUUGGAGCCACUACAUAUAAAACUACCAGCAACUUUAAACAUCAACUCUCACUGGAUUUAUUUUGGCUGAAGUCUGCACGUUUGAUGAACUGUUCCCGUUUCUUUCAAGUGGAACAUACAAGAAUUUUUUUUUUUUUUUUUUUUUUAGUUUUACUGAUUUAGGUAUCUUUGUUUGCUUUGCCUUGCAUAAUAAAAACACACAUUUAUGAAAAAUCCAUUUUGGAUGCAAGUCAUGUCUAAUUAGUCUGAAUCUGCACAAAUAACUAGCAUUUGAAAGCGGUGUAUAUUUUUGUUUGGAUAACAGACUUAAAGCUCCAGGCUACAGUUCCCAAAUGUCCCUAUCCGCUAUCUGACACUCCCACACACCAGCAUGCACAAGCACACACACUGACAUUAUACAAAGCCAAUUUACAGCCCAGUGGAUCUCCAGAUUGUGUUUGCAGCAAAUUCCAAUUGGCGCCUCUCCAAAGCGCUACUGAACAUAUUCCCUGUCUCUGUUUUCUUUAUCGUCCUAUCAAGAUAUUUCCCCUGAUGGUGAGCCUGUUGCAGGUGGGAGAGAGAAAUUGAACGAAGCAGCCGAAGAAAAAGCCUGAUUCAGGGGGACAACGAGGCUCCACAGCUGAUAAUCCACUAAUUGAAAUGUGGGGUUUUGCAAUGAGGAAGACUGUGUGAGAGGACGGCAACGCAGAUAGAAAGAGAAUUAAGACGGGGUUGUUGAAAUGGGCGGGUGGAAUAAUCAAUAGCAGUUAGAGGAGUGUGUGUUGUGUCAGUCUAACAGCUUGUUCUUGUUCUAGGGGGACAAACCCAGACGUGAAAACUGCUCGGCAGAGCCCCAGCCAGAUUGACGUUCCACUUUAUUGAGAUUUAGUGGGUCUGCAUGGAUUUGAAUGAUCCUCAGCGCAGUCUGUCACUUGUCAUGGUAAUGAAUGGAAGAUGACAGGUUCACUGCUCACUGUCUCAGGCGCCAAAACUUUAUGACAAGGGCAGCCAAGAGAUCUAAAUAUGACAAUAUUUGCAGGGCUUGAAUCAUGAUGAGAAGGAAAGUAAGAGUGAUGGUGUCUUAGUAGAUAUGAUGUCGCACUGCCUCUAUAUUUAGAUUGAAAACCUUCAGUUGUUAUUAGGAGGUUGUUCCUGAGAUACAGAGAAACCAAACCGACUUAAGAUGAUCAGAGUUGGGCGAGGUUAAAACAUGAUUACUUACCAUCUGUGGGUCAUUAAAGGUUACAUCCUCCUCCUCAUCAACCAGUUUAAAUAAGUCUCAGAGCUCCCCAAAACAUGCGUGUGACGUUUCUUGUUCUAA
Long non-coding RNA from Labrus bergylta (ballan wrasse), 2041 nucleotides. RefSeq lists it as uncharacterized. The record is from RefSeq and is a predicted model, not a curated record. NCBI's taxonomy places the organism in Eukaryota, Metazoa, Chordata, Actinopteri, Labriformes, Labridae.